UUGUUGGAACUUGGUGUGGGGCCUGAUGGAACUAGCAGAGGCUCCUCUCAAAAGGGGCCAUUAAACCCUGAUUGAACUAUCAAUGAUACCUGGGAUUAGUUCACUGGGCACUACAGGAACAGCAAGUUGCACGUCAUUGUGGACAGGGCCGGAAAUAGAUAAGUACAUUUUCAGAUUAUUUUUUAGAAAUUUUUGUAUCAGUGCUUCCCGUAUGUAUCAUGUCGUACGUAUCAUGUAUCACGUCAUAGCUCAAAUGUCCAGUCAACUCCACCUAAUCUGAUCAAUAUGUCUUGAUCCAUGUGUUCAAUCGUCUUGAUUGCACCCAUUUUGCCAGACAUUAUCAGGACCAUGAUCACAUAUAUCUCCCUUCUCGACCCAUGGUAUCACAUAUUUAUAUAAAACGAGACUUUCUGACUCCAGCGGCCCAUGAUCAAACGGACUUGAUCAUAAUUCCUUACUCUCGUAUAAUAAGUAACUUCCGAAAGAACUAUCGUCGAAUGACGUGACAUCAUUAUUCAACCGAACAUGUCAAAAAGGAAAUUGAAAUUCGCAAAGCGUAAUAACAAUGUAUUAAAAAUAAAAGGAGUUGAAAAAUUCAUAAAUGUGAAAUGACGAUAGAAUCGUUCCAAAUUGAAUGCUUCAAAAAUUGAUAACUCAAAUUCGUUACAAUGUAUUAAAUGCAGCGAAAUUUAUUUAAAAAGCCAUUUAGAAGUAGCAAAAAAAAAAAAAAAAAAAAAAAAAAAAAAAAAAAAAAAAAAAAAAAAAAAAAAAAAAAAANAAAAAAAAAAAAAAAAAACAUCGAAACAAUCUUUUGUAUUGCAAACGAAAGUUAACUAUUCAUUAUGGGUAAACAUUCAUUGUUUUAAUAUUUAUUAGUAGUGAUAUAUUAGGGGAUAACUUUUCAUAUAUCGAUCAAAUUCGGUUAAAUAAUAUCAGGGUAAAGAUUUAAAAUACGGGACAAUCUGAGGGUACCUUUUGAUAGAUUACAAUUUAAUACAGCUUACAAUUUAAUAUGAAAAAGUUAUCCCCAAAAUAUGAUUUAUAUUUGUCUUUAUACACUACCUUUCAGGAUUUUCAAUACAUCUCCAUUCAUUAACAAGCAAAAUUAGGUACCUUUAAUACCCUAUUAGUAGCUGACUUAUUAAGACAAAGCCCUUUCUCCGUAAAAUCAGCUUGCCACUUAUUUCUGGACUUUUACAGUGCAUAAAAUAAAAGACAUCACCCGGAAUAACUUUCGUUUUAAUGAUCAGAAUUUCUCGAAUUAGCUGUCAAUCAUAUUGACUUAAAGGAACUACUUCAAAUAUCUAAUUAAGUUACAGAAUCAGACAAAAAAACGCUCUUGCUUUCUCAGAAUAAACAUAUGUAACUGAGAAACAUUGUUUAUAAAACGAAUUUAACUUAUUAAAAUAGGAAUGAUUAGAAUUUGAAAUUACUUAUGUA
Parasteatoda tepidariorum (common house spider) is the source of this 1440-nucleotide non-coding RNA. The record is from RefSeq and is a predicted model, not a curated record. Lineage: Eukaryota; Metazoa; Arthropoda; Arachnida; Araneae; Theridiidae.